Molecule: ribosomal RNA, 440 nt
Filed under: uncultured bacterium
Lineage: Bacteria
Description: partial 16S ribosomal RNA
Rfam family: Bacterial small subunit ribosomal RNA
Source: RNAcentral
CCUACGGGUGGCUGCAGUGGGGAAUAUUGCACAAUGGGGGAAACCCUGAUGCAGCGACGCCGCGUGAGUGAAGAAGUACUUCGUUACGUAAAGCUCUAUCAGCAGGGAAGAAAAUGACGGUACCUGAGUAAGAAGCCCCGGCUAACUACGUGCCAGCAGCCGCGGUAAUACGUAGGGGGCAAGCGUUAUCCGGAUUUACUGGGUGUAAAGGGAGCGUAGACGGUGCGCCAAGUCUGGAGUGAAAUGCCGCAGCUUAACUUCUGUUCGGCACUGGAUACUGGUAAGCUUGAAUGCGGUAGAGGUAAAGGGAAUUCCUGGUGUAGCGGUGAAAUGCGUAGAUAUCAGGAGGAACAUCGGUGGCGUAAGCGCUUUACUGGGCCGUAAUUGACACUGAGGAACGAAAGCCGGGGUAGCAAAUGGGAUUAGAUACCCCAGUAGUC